GAUGAACGCUAGCGGCAGGCUUAACACAUGCAAGUCGAGGGGUAACAGAGGUAGCUUGCUACUUGCUGACGACCGGCGCACGGGUGCGUAACGCGUAUAGAACCUACCUUAUAGAAGGGAAUAGCCCAGAGAAAUUUGGAUUAAUGCCCUAUAGUAUUAUUGAUUGGCAUCGAUUAAUAAUUAAAGAUUUAUCGCUAUAAGAUGGCUAUGCGCUCUAUUAGCUAGUUGGUAUGGUAACGGCAUACCAAGGCAACGAUAGAUAGGGGUCCUGAGAGGGAGAUCCCCCACACUGGUACUGAGACACGGACCAG
RNAcentral lists this ribosomal RNA (311 nucleotides) under uncultured Aquimarina sp. RNAcentral's name for it is "bacterial SSU rRNA". It matches the Rfam family "Bacterial small subunit ribosomal RNA", at positions 28 to 334 of the family's 1533-position model. Lineage: Bacteria; Pseudomonadati; Bacteroidota; Flavobacteriia; Flavobacteriales; Flavobacteriaceae. The record is from RNAcentral.